UGCCAUGCCAUGCUUUUGUGUUCAUGUCAGGUUUAGUUCUUGUUUAUGUCUUUGUUUCUUUUUUAAUAAAAACGCACUUGGGUUCUAAAUUGCUCAUCUCUCAGUGAAUUACGUUACAGAAAUAAAUGCUUCAAAUUUUUCAAAUCAUUAUUGUUUUAUGCAACACGUCUUCCUUUAUUCUCCUUCCACACUAUCUAGUCUGAGCCCAAUUUUGUCCCAUACCUGCAAGAAAAGAUGGAAGCCAUAGCAAACCACAGAGAGUGAGAGACUGUAAGGACAGUGGACUUGCAGCUGAGAGGUUUUACCCUCCCAUCACACCUGUACCAACAGUUAAGGAUGUAAUAGCAAAAGCCCUGGAACACAUUGGCACCUAUCAGGAGCUAAAUAUCCAGGAGCAACUGCAGGUUCUGAUCGAUCCAGAGAUGUGUAUCAACUGUGGGAAAUGUUACAUGACCUGUAACGAUGCCGGAUACCAGGCCAUCGUGUUUGACCCUGAGACUCGUCUGCCUGUGAUUCAGGACAGCUGUACCGGCUGCGCUCUCCGUCUCAGCGUCUGCCCCAUCAUCGACUGCAUUAAGAUGAUCACUAGAACAAUAUCUUACAUGCCAAGACGAGGACAUCCAAAUGUCGGGAAUCCUGUAUGACGAAAUACAUUUUUUAAGAUUAACGUAAUAAAACUUUGUUCAUAAACCAAAUAAUUAUAAAGAAAUAAUUGCCUUAUUUUAACGAGCCAAUUAUCCAGAAAUAAUCCAUGAGCGUUGUGCUACAGUAUGUUGACACUUUAGCGGGCCGAUUUGAUGCGAUGGAGUUUGUGCUUCUCUUUCUCCGAGGGCUGACGGGGAAUGAAUCUAACCAGUGGAAAUAUAAUGGCUGUUAAUGAAGUUUAUGCUCUGGCUGAACACUAUCGUCUAACCAGGGCCACAAUGAUGGAUUGUCCACUACAUUUAGAACAAAAUGCAAUCAUACAUACAAGAGGUGGUGAUAGGAAAAGAGAAAAUGAAUGGAUUUUAAUUGAGUAGUUGCUGGUUUGGCUUGGAAUCACACUUCAUGUUUUUCACAACGUAUAAUGAUUACUAAAGCGUGGUUAUGUUUCGUGUAUCCUAUCAAGCCAAAUUACCUCAACAACUGCAAAACUAACUUUAUUUAGUAUAGUAUUUUAUUAUUAGCUGACAUCUUAUGAUUUAGCUCUAACCAGACAAAUUACGGUAAUACUACCGUAUUAUUUCAUGAAAAAUGAAACCCUUUGAUUUUUGUAAUGUUAAUGCCACUCUUGGAGAAUAGAAUAUGUAUUAAAUGUAAAAGUUGGUAAAUAAAAACAAAUCUUGCUUAACGGGUUAAUAACAAAUGGUUGAUUUUGAUUACAUUAGCCAUCUGGACAGGAUCAUUUGGAAAGCCGCUGUACUCUAGUAAUAUGCUGGACAUUUUGCGUAAAGGUCAUAUGAGACCCAGACAUUAGGGAUGAAGACUAGCUGUUAUUCAUCUUAGACCCAAAGGUCAAGUCUGACCACUUCUAUCUCUAAUGCACGGCCAUCCGUAUCACACAGCGAGGGAGCAGAUCUCUUAGGUCUUAGCUUGUUGUCUGUGAUGCAAGUGAUCAGAUGAACGAUGGACAGUCAUUCGGGUUAACUGUGUGUCUGUCCGUGUCACUUAUGAAUGAAUGAAAUGUCUAAGUUAUAAUUUAUAAAGAAUGCAUAAAGAAAUGGAGCAAGUUUUUUACUUUUGCAUUUACAUGUUUUUGUAUAUGAUUUGUAUAUUGAUUCGUACAGUAAUUUACUGUAAUGCAGUUUUGCAUCUUUUUAUUCAUAUCGGCUUAUGUUUGAGGAAGUUAACAUUUUUUAUACAGAUAAUCCACAAAGGUUUUUUCCAAAUUCCCACAUUUGUGUGUUUGCAAGUCGAGGCUUUUUAAAGGAAAAUUAUAUAAAUGCAAUUGCAAAUAUUUUAAGGUUUUUUGUGCUAAAUUAUGACCUGAACACAUUAACAGGUUUGUGAUCAA
This is a non-coding RNA of Paramisgurnus dabryanus, 1993 nucleotides long. The record is from RefSeq and is a predicted model, not a curated record. NCBI's taxonomy places the organism in Eukaryota, Metazoa, Chordata, Actinopteri, Cypriniformes, Cobitidae.